GAUGAACGCUGGCGGCGUGCCUUAUACAUGCAAGUCGAGCGACCAGACGAUCUGCUUGCUCCUCUUACUUUAGCGUGGCACGGGUGAGUAACACAUGGCUAACCUACCUCUGAGACUGGGAUUACUUCGUGAAACCGUAGCUAAUACCGGCUAAUAUCUUGAACCGCAUGGUUCAAUAGUGCAAGACGUUUUUGUUUUCACUUAUCGAUUGAUCCGCGCCGCAUUAGCUAGUUGGUAAGGUAACGGCUUACCAAGGCAACGAUGCGUAGCCGAUCUGAGAGGGUGAUCGGCCACACUGGAACUGAGACACGGUCCAGACUCCUACGGGAGGCAGCAGUAGGGAAUCUUCCGCAAUGGGCGAAAGCCUGACGGAGCAACGCCGCGUGAGUGAUGAAGGUCUUCGGAUCGUAAAACUCUGUUAUUAGGGAAGAACAAAUGUGUAAGUAACUAUGCACGUCUUGACGGUACCUAAUCAGAAAGCCACGGCUAACUACGUG
Molecule: ribosomal RNA, 497 nt
Filed under: uncultured bacterium
Lineage: Bacteria
Description: partial 16S ribosomal RNA
Rfam family: Bacterial small subunit ribosomal RNA
Source: RNAcentral